This is a long non-coding RNA of Equus quagga, 1210 nucleotides long. RefSeq lists it as uncharacterized. The transcript is spliced from 3 exons. The record is from RefSeq and is a predicted model, not a curated record. Lineage: Eukaryota; Metazoa; Chordata; Mammalia; Perissodactyla; Equidae.
GUCAACAGGGUCGUCCCGCCCCACGUUUAACUUCGCUAUUAAAACUCUUUGCGAAUCCAUAUUAGGGGAUGGGAAAGCCCGUGCUUGCUGAGAUCCAGAAUCAGAAUCCUGCCGUGUCAGUCGAGGUCUGACCUCCCAGAAGGGAGCACUCAUUUGCCACUUCCCAUCCUCGGGGCUCUCCUGGUCCUCUGUGAUGCCACUACAGUAAGCGUUCCACCCUGACAUGCGCAGUCCCUCGGAGACCCCUCAGCCGCGCCUCCUGCUGGUUUGAACAGAGCUGGCUUCCAAGUCCUCAGCUGCGUCCUGCCUUCUCCAGAACUCCCCAAACCCUCGGAAUUUCCUAGGUGAUGAGAGCAGCAAAGAUGUCUCCUGUUACGUUAAUGAGAUGACCUCCGGAUGCACUGAAGGACGGAGGCUAGUUGUCAGAAGAACCAACCAUGAGAUUAGAGGGUUGCAACUUCAGUGCCACCUACCCCAACAUGUCCCCACCUGGACCUGCAGGAAAGGGAGAGGGGCUGGAGUUUCAAUCAAUCGCCAAUGGCCAGUGAUUUAAUCGUUCACACCUAUGUAACGAAGCCUCCAUCGAAACCCAAAGGGACGGGUCCAAAGAGCUUCCGGGUUGGUGAACAGAUGGAGAUUUGGAGAGAGUGGCACCCCGGGAGAGGUCAUGGAAGCUCCACGCCCUUUCCCCAGCCCUUACCCUAUGUGUCUCUUCCAUCUGGCUGUUUCUGAGUUGUAUGCUUUUACCAUAAACCAGUAAUAUAGUCAGUAAAAUGUUUCCCUGAGUUCAGUGAGCUGCUCUAGCAAAUUAAUUGAACAAGGAGGGGGCCUUGGGAACUCUGAUCUACAGCCAGCAGGUCAGAAGCCCAGGUGACAACCUGGACUUGCAGUUGGCAUCUGAAGCAGGGGCAGGGGCAGUCUUGUGGGACUGAGCCCUUAACCUGUGCGAUCUGACGCUAUCUGCAGGUGGAGAGUGUCGGGACUGAGUUAAAGCGUAGGACACCCAGCUGGUGUCACAGAGGAUCACUUGGUGGUGGGCAAAACCCACACACACUGGAAUUGGUGUCAGAAUCUAAGGCGGGUUAACCUGGGAAGGUUUCAGGAUGGAUGUGAGAUCUGAGUGAGGUCUUGACCAGACGAUGGAUUGGCAGGGAAGGUGGGAUGGACAUUCCAGGUGGGCACAAAGGGGCAGGAGACAGAAGCAAGUUGU